Molecule: long non-coding RNA, 1856 nt
Filed under: Mus musculus (house mouse)
Lineage: Eukaryota; Metazoa; Chordata; Mammalia; Rodentia; Muridae
Description: RIKEN cDNA 1700019J19 gene
Source: RNAcentral
UAAGUUCGGCGGGUCCCGGACCAAGAUGGCGACCGGCUUCUCAUUCUUAAGCUGGUCCAAGAACCAGGGCUUUAGACUUCCCCAUGCCUCUCAAUUCCAUAUGAGUUUAUUUGCCACCUGAUGGAGAAGUCUGCCCUCUGUCCUAACUCCCAUGGCUAUGAACUUGGCUCAUCCCUCCUGUGUUCUCCCUGUACUCUGCCAAGGAUCUGUGCUCCCAGUGUUCAUUGGCUUCCUUGACCUUCUUAGCCUUUAGUCUUCUAAUAGAGACAGAAAAUUCUCCUUCAUCCACACUGAAAUGUCUUCAGAAUAAGCAUGGGAUCACAGAUGGGUUCACCAGGUAGUAUAUGACCUGACCAUUGUCAACCUCAGUCCUGUCUCCUCUGCCCUGCUUCCCAGAUGGUGUUCUCUACCCCAUUCUUCAGCAAACAUCAACCUUGUUCUCUCCAUGUCUUUGCCAGGAUGUUUAUUUUGACAGAGCCUUACUUCCUAGCCCAUUUCUUCAUAUUCACACCCACCUCCUGGCAGAUACCCUCUUUUUAGUCUUCAAUGUCAGCUUGACCUUCUCUGAUCGAUUCCCUUGCCUCAAAUUAUCUCAGGGCCCCACCUUAAACAUUGAGAUAACCAUGUACUUCUUUUUGUGUUGAAAAUCUUACUGUCCUUGAUAAUUAUUUUUACAUGGUGACUCAUUGUCUAUGUUCUUAAUAGAGAAGCAGAGCUGCAUGUGAACAGUCCGCAGGGACUGGAGUGUUUGUAUGCACGAAUUGUAAACGCUGCUCUGUAGACAGUUAGCUGACACCUCUGCAGUAUCUAAUCAUUUGCAUGUGGAAAGCUGCUACCAGGAAUAUAAACACAUUGUGGUAGAGACCCAUGGUGGGGGAUCUCUAGUACAAAAUGCUCCCUGAUGAACGCACAAAAAGCCGGUAUCAAUUGCAAAGCCUUCUUAAAGGCUGGGGUCCAGGGAGGUGUGUACUCCACUAGUGAGCCUUUGGGAACAGAUCUGAAGGGCUGCAAGGGAGAAAGUAUAAAGUGAUACACCAUUUCUCUUUAUCAUCUAUGCUUUCCUGUCUCUUUCCUGGAAGUGCUGUAAUAGUGCCUACCAUUCCUAGCUACUCAAAGCUGUGUGACAAAUCAUAAAAAACUUAGCAUCCAAAAAUACAUGUUUGUGAUCUCACAGUUGAGCAGGCCCUCAGCUUUGCACUGGCAUCAAAGCCUCAUGGGAGCACCCUUGUAUCAGAAGCCUGUAUAGGAAGGGCUCUGCUCCCAGGCUCUCCCAGGCAGGUGACAUUGAAACCUGCAAACCUUCAAACUUGAUGUGAAUGAACACCAAAGUCGAGAUAGAGUCUACAAAAGAGCUUCUUUCUACAGCCUUCACUUCUGAUGAGGUCAUCCAAAUAUCCCUGGAGCCAGCUGCCACCAGUCAGGGCUUUGGAUGCCUGCUCUGCAAUCCCUGCUGACCCACCACACUCCUUCACUUGGAAAGUCCCGACUCUGGCAAAGAGCUGCCCUUGAAGUAGGUACUUCAAAGGGGCCACAGGCUACUGGAAAGCGUUCAGAUCUCUUAUCUGAGGAGCAGUAAAUGCAGUGACACCACAAGCCUUUGGAGUUUCUGAAGACACCACAUGAAGUUAACAGGUUGAGCUAAUCAACCCAAGAGGAAGAAGGAACACAUGAACUGGAAAUAUUCAGCUGAAAUGGAUUGGUAUUUCAAAGCACAAAGCUCCUGAGAGAUGCUCUUCUGAACAGGAGGACAACAGGAGGGAAACAGUAUGUUCAUGGCAGAAUAAAACAAUCUUUCCCUGACUUACUUUUGGGCUUACCGUUUGACAAAGAACAUAAAAAUAUGAGAUCUAAAUUCA